RNAcentral lists this ribosomal RNA (490 nucleotides) under uncultured bacterium. Its description in RNAcentral is "partial 16S ribosomal RNA". It matches the Rfam family "Bacterial small subunit ribosomal RNA", at positions 30 to 507 of the family's 1533-position model. The record is from RNAcentral.
AUUGAACGCUGGCGGUAUGCUUUACACAUGCAAGUCGGACGGCAGCACAGAGAAGCUUGCUUCUUGGGUUUCGAGUGGCGAACGGGUGUGUAACAUAUCGGAACUUACCGAGCAGUGGGGGAUAACUAAUCGAAAGAUUAGCUAAUACCGCAUAUCUUCUGAGGAAGAAAGCAGGGGACCAUUUGGCCUUCCGCUGUUUGAUCGGCCGAUAUCUGAUUCGCUAGUUGGUGGUGUAAAGGCCUACCAAGGCGACGAUCAGUAGCGGGUCUGAGAGGAUGAUCCGCCACACUGGGACUGAGACACGGCCCAGACUCCUACGGGAGGCAGCAGUGGGGAAUUUUGGACAAUGGGCGCAAGCCUGAUCCAGCCAUGCCGCGUGUGUGAAGAAGGCCUUCGGGUUGUAAAGGACUUUUGUCAGGGAAGAAAAGGGCGGGGUUAAUACCCCUGUCUGAUGACGGUACCUGAAGAAUAAGCACCGGCUAACUACGUG